Molecule: long non-coding RNA, 1417 nt
Filed under: Bos indicus x Bos taurus (hybrid cattle)
Lineage: Eukaryota; Metazoa; Chordata; Mammalia; Artiodactyla; Bovidae
Description: lncRNA (ENSBIXG00000028839.1)
Source: RNAcentral
CAAAACUUUAGCCUCCUGAUGUGAAGAGCCGACUCAUUGGAAAAGACUGUGAUGCUGGGAAAGAUUGAAGGCAGCCAGAGAAGGGGAUGAAAGAAGAUGAGAUGGUUCAGUGGCAUCACUGACUCAAUGGACAUGAGAUUGAGCAACCUCUGGGAGAUAGUGAUAAACAGGGAAGCCUGGCGUGCUGCAGUCCAUGGGUUCGCAAAGUCGGAUACGACCGAGCGACUGAACCAGGCAGCAAGGUUCAAGCUUUGCUUGACAUCCAGUCACUCUCCCCACUUUCCGCUUGAUGGAGCAGGUCUACACCCGCUGUGGCUUCUCAACAUCAGGGGAACUGACUCAACACCCGAUGCGUGCACGUGUUUUUCACAAGGGAAGCUGGGAGGUACAAUCUCUGUACAAGAUAAUCUCUGGCAUCGUCACACUUGAGAAGCUGAAGAAGCUGUGAAGUCACCAUCACCCAUUCCAAAAUCCUAAGCCUAAGAGAAGCCAAUGACGAAAUUCUUGUGACAUCGCAAAACAGAUCAAUGGUGGUGAAAAUGCGUGACAUAUACAGGUGCCAUGGGACCUACCUCAUUGAUAAGUGUACUGUGAAUUGUGUUCAGCUCAAGGCUUCCUCCCACAGUGGAAGCACCUCCUCUUCUCAGAGGCUCCAUGACCCCAUCCCAUUCAUAAACCAGAGCCUGAGCUUAUGAAUGAAUCACACACAGAGCUGAGAAGUCUCACAGAGAGGACUCCUGACCCUCUGCCCUCACUCCAUCCCCCCUACAAUCUAAUUCAUCAAAUCUGGUUACUGGUUUCAAGUCUAACUUUAAGUUAAUUUUGGAUAUACUACUUCUCACUCCAAAGUAGAAAAGAGCUGGAGUGCUUCCUAGUUAGAGGAAAUAAUCAUGGAAGUGUUUCUUAGAGUUAAUCAAAGGUACUCUUCUUUCCUAUAUUAAAAUACGCAAAAUUAAAUUAUACCAAGAUUGGUCUUUAUUCUUUUCAUUCCCUCAUAGGUUUGAGUUGUCACCUGAAUGGUGCUCUAUUUCUAAAUAGCAUUUCUCUCCCCAGCACACGAGCUAUUUUAUUUGUCUGGCUUACACAGCUGCCAGCCUCAGCAGUGUCAUACACCUGGCAUUUCCACUCCCCCGUGUUUUUGCCUUUCCAGCCAAGAACUCUGGCCUUCUGUACCUGCUCCCCACUAAAGAACACUUUCUUCAAUGUAACUUGACAACCCAAUUCGAUUCAAUCCCCAAGCAUUACAUUUCCAUUCAGUGCAUUUGUACCUCUCAGUUCUCAAUUAAGAAGGAAAUAUGGUCCAUGUACCCCCUACAUCUUACAGCAGGAAGAAAAAUGUAUGUAGCUGGAUUAAAUCAAAACUCCCAGCAAGCGAAGAUACAAAAGUCAGAUCAGAAGGAAAGAGCUGCCCUUCUCU